UAAGGAAUAUUGGUCAAUGGGGGCAACCCUGAACCAGCCAUGCCGCGUGCAGGACGACUGCCCUAUGGGUUGUAAACUGCUUUUGCCGGGGAAUAAACCCCACUACGUGUAGUGGGCUGAACGUACCCGGAGAAUAAGGAUCGGCUAACUCCGUGCCAGCAGCCGCGGUAAUACGGAGGAUCCGAGCGUUAUCCGGAUUUAUUGGGUUUAAAGGGUGCGUAGGCGGCACUUUAAGUCAGGGGUGAAAGACGGCAGCUCAACUGUCGCAGUGCCCUUGAUACUGAAGUGCUUGAAUGCGGUUGAAGACGGCGGAAUGAGACAAGUAGCGGUGAAAUGCAUAGAUAUGUCUCAGAACACCGAUUGCGAAGGCAGCUGUCUAAGCCGUUAUUGACGCUGAUGCACGAAAGCGUGGGGAUCGAACAGG
This 424-nucleotide ribosomal RNA is filed under the name uncultured bacterium. Its description in RNAcentral is "bacterial SSU rRNA". It matches the Rfam family "Bacterial small subunit ribosomal RNA", at positions 355 to 776 of the family's 1533-position model. The record is from RNAcentral.